This 745-nucleotide long non-coding RNA is filed under the name Taeniopygia guttata (zebra finch). RNAcentral describes it as "lncRNA (ENSTGUG00000023233.1)". Lineage: Eukaryota; Metazoa; Chordata; Aves; Passeriformes; Estrildidae. The record is from RNAcentral.
UUUUGGCGGGGGGCGUGGCUUGGGCGACGUUGUGGUCAAUGGGAGGGGGCGGGGCUUGAGCGGGUUAUUUUAAUAAAACGGGGCGUGGCUUUGUGGAGGGGGCGUGGCUUGUGCGCCGUUGUUGUCAAUGGGAGGGGGCGUGGCUUGGGAGCCGUCGCUUUCCUAUAGGCGGGCCGUGACGUCAUCGCCGCCGAUGACGUAAUCUCUUUCUUUUCUGAUGACGUCACCGCAGAAAAACCCAAAUUCCGGGGGUUUUCCCCCCAAAAAACCCCCCGGGAUGGACUCAGGGGGAUCCAAAGCGCUGCCGGACCCGGCGGACGCGAUGACGUCAGACGACUUCGACAUCGUCAUCGAGGCCAUGCUGGAGGCGCCCUACAAGAAGGAGGAGGCCCAGCCCGGCCCCUCCAAGGCCCAACCGGAGCCGCCCCCGGCCCAGCCGCCCCAGGAGGAGCCGAAAGAGGCCAAAAAGGAGAGCGGGAGCAGCAGCCGGAAGAAGCGGAGCCGGAGCCGCGAGCACAGACACAGGUGGGAAAAAUGGGAAUUUUGGGAAAAAAAUGGGAAUUCUGGGUGAAAAAAAUGGGGAUUUUGGGGUGAAAAAUGGGGAUUUUGGGGGAAAAAUGGGAAAUUUGGGAAAAAAUGGGAAUUCUGGGUGAAAAAAAUGGGGAUUUUGGGGGAAAAAUGGGAAUUUUGGGUGGAAAAAUUGGGAUUUUGGGGGGUAAAAUUGGGAUUUGGGGGAAAAAGGGAU